RNAcentral lists this ribosomal RNA (301 nucleotides) under uncultured bacterium. RNAcentral describes it as "partial 16S ribosomal RNA". It matches the Rfam family "Bacterial small subunit ribosomal RNA", at positions 509 to 807 of the family's 1533-position model. The record is from RNAcentral.
CAGUAGCCGCGGGAAUACGAAGGGUGCAAGCGUUACUCGGAAUUACUGGGCGUAAAGCGUGCGUAGGUGGUGGUUUAAGUCCGUUGUGAAAGCCCUGGGCUCAACCUGGGAAUUGCAGUGGAUACUGGGUCACUAGAGUGUGGUAGAGGAUAGUGGAAUUUCCGGUGUAGCAGUGAAAUGCGUAGAGAUCGGAAGGAACAUCUGUGGCGAAGGCGACUAUCUGGGCCAACACUGACACUGAGGCACGAAAGCGUGGGGAGCAAACAGGAUUAGAUACCCGCGUAGUCCCUGUCUCUUAUAC